RNAcentral lists this ribosomal RNA (119 nucleotides) under Pteropus alecto (black flying fox). The record is from RNAcentral. Lineage: Eukaryota; Metazoa; Chordata; Mammalia; Chiroptera; Pteropodidae.
GUCUACGGCCACACUAAUCUGAACGAGCCCGAGCCCCUCCGAUCUCAGAAGCUAAGCAGGGUUGGGUCUGGUUAGUACUUGGAGGAGGGACUACCUAGGAAGACCAGUUGCUGUAGGCA